RNAcentral lists this ribosomal RNA (440 nucleotides) under uncultured bacterium. RNAcentral's name for it is "partial 16S ribosomal RNA". It matches the Rfam family "Bacterial small subunit ribosomal RNA", at positions 338 to 795 of the family's 1533-position model. The record is from RNAcentral.
CCUACGGGUGGCAGCAGUGGGGGAUAUUGCACAAUGGGGGGAACCCUGAUGCAGCGACGCCGCGUGGGUGAAGGAGCGUUUCGGCGCGUUACGCCCUAUCGGCAGGGAAGAAAAUGACGGUACCUGUCCAAGAAGCCCCGGCUAACUACGUUCCAGCAUCCGCGGUAAUACGUAGGGGAGAAGCGGUAUCCGGAUUUACUGGGUGUUAAGGGGGCGCAGGCGGCAAUGCAAGCCAGGAGGUAAAGCCCGGGGCCCAACCCCUGGAGUGCUGUUGAAACUGCAUGGCUUGAGUACAGGAGGGGCAGGCGGAAUUCCUAGUGUAGCGGUGAAAUGCGUAGAUAUUAGGCGGAACACCGGUGGCGAAGGCGGCCUGCUGGACUGUGACUGACGUUGAGGCCCGAAGGCGUGGGGAGCAAACAGGAUUAGAUACCCGGGUAGUC